This 446-nucleotide ribosomal RNA is filed under the name uncultured bacterium. Its description in RNAcentral is "bacterial SSU rRNA". It matches the Rfam family "Bacterial small subunit ribosomal RNA", at positions 330 to 792 of the family's 1533-position model. The record is from RNAcentral.
UCCAGACUCCUACGGGAGGCAGCAGUGGGGAAUAUUGCACAAUGGGGGAAACCCUGAUGCAGCGACGCCGCGUGAGUGAAGAAGUAUUUCGGUAUGUAAAGCUCUCUCAGCAGGGAAGAAGAAAGACGGUACCUGACUAAGAAGCCCCGGCUAACUACGUGCCAGCAGCCGCGGUAAUACGUAGGGGGCAAGCGUUAUCCGGAUUUACUGGGUGUAAAGGGAGCGUAGACGGCAUGGCAAGUCAGAUGUGAAAGCCCGGGGCUCAACCCCGGGACUGCAUUUGAAACUGUCAGGCUGGAGUGCAGGAGAGGUAAGUGGAAUUCCUAGUGUAGCGGUGAAAUGCGUAGAUAUCAGGAGGAACACCGGCGGCGAAGGCGGCCUGCUGGACCGCGACUGACGUUGAGGCUCGAAAGCGUGGGGAGCGAACAGGAUUAGAUACCCGCGUA